AGCGAACGCUAGUGGCGGGCCUAACACAUGCAAGUCGAGCGGAGGGGCAACCCUCAGCGGCGAACGGGUGAGUAACACGUAGGUAAUGUACCCUCUGGUGGGGAAUUAACCGUGGGAAACCAUGGCUAAUACCGCAUAUGUCUUUCGAGAUGAAAGCAGCAAUGCGCCAGAGGAGCCAGCCUGCGGCCGAUUAUUUAGUCCUAGUUGGUGAGGUAAUGGCUCACCAAGGGUACGAUCGGUAGCUGGUCUGAGAGGAUGAUCAGCCACACUGGAACUGAGACACGGUCCAGACUCCUACGGAGGCAGCAGUGGGGAAUAUUGCGCAA
This 326-nucleotide ribosomal RNA is filed under the name uncultured bacterium. RNAcentral's name for it is "bacterial SSU rRNA". It matches the Rfam family "Bacterial small subunit ribosomal RNA", at positions 29 to 371 of the family's 1533-position model. The record is from RNAcentral.